CCUACGGGAGGCAGCAGUGGGGAAUAUUGCACAAUGGGGGGAACCCUGAUGCAGCGACGCCGCGUGGAUGAAGGAGCACCUCGGUUCGUAAACCCCUAUCGGCAGGGAAGAAAGGCGGGCGGGGCCCGUCUGGACGGUACCUGACUAAGACGCCCCGGCUAACUCCGUGCCAGCAGCCGCGGUAAUACGUAGGGGGCAAGCGUUAUCCGGAUUCACUGGGGGUAAAGGGAGCGUAGACGUCUACGCAAGUCUGGAGUGAAAGCCCGGGGCCCAACCCCGGAACUGCACUGGAAACUGCGGCGCUGGAGUACGGGAGGGGCAGGCGGAAUUCCUGGUGUAGCGGUGAAAUGCGUAGAUAUCAGGCAGAACCCCGAUUGCGAAGGCAGCAUGCCGGCUUCCGACUGACGCUGAAGCACGAAAGCGUGGGGAUCGAACAGGAUUAGAUACCCCUGUAGUC
RNAcentral lists this ribosomal RNA (457 nucleotides) under uncultured bacterium. RNAcentral describes it as "partial 16S ribosomal RNA". It matches the Rfam family "Bacterial small subunit ribosomal RNA", at positions 338 to 795 of the family's 1533-position model. The record is from RNAcentral.